This 468-nucleotide ribosomal RNA is filed under the name uncultured bacterium. Its description in RNAcentral is "partial 16S ribosomal RNA". It matches the Rfam family "Bacterial small subunit ribosomal RNA", at positions 28 to 507 of the family's 1533-position model. The record is from RNAcentral.
GACGAACGCUGGCGGCGUGCUUAACACAUGCAAGUCGAACGGAAAGGCCCUGCUUUUGUGGGGUGCUCGAGUGGCGAACGGGUGAGUAACACGUGAGUAACCUGCCCUUGACUUUGGGAUAACUUCAGGAAACUGGGGCUAAUACCGGAUAGGAGCUCCUGCUGCAUGGUGGGGGUUGGAAAGUUUCGGCGGUUGGGGAUGGACUCGCGGCUUAUCAGCUUGUUGGUGGGGUAGUGGCUUACCAAGGCUUUGACGGGUAGCCGGCCUGAGAGGGUGACCGGCCACAUGGGGAAGGGUAUCGCCCCCAGCCCCCGCGGGGGGGAGAGAGGGGGAAAUAUUGCACAGGGGGCGGAGGCCUGAGGCAGCACCGCCGGGUGGGGGAGGGGGGCUUGGGGUUUUUAACCGCUUUCCGCCUGGGACGAAGGGGGAGGGAGGGUAUGGGAUAAAAAACCCCCGGCUAACUAGGUC